GUGGGGAAUCUUCCGCAAUGGACGAAAGUCUGACGGAGCAACGCCGCGUGAGUGAUGAAGGUCUUCGGAUUGUAAAGCUCUGUUAAUCGCGACGAAAGAGCCUAGUGUGAAUAAUGCUAGGAAGUGACGGUACCGGAAUAGAAAGCAACGGCUAACUACGUGCCAGCAGCCGCGGUAAUACGUAGGUGGCAAGCGUUGUCCGGAAUUAUUGGGCGUAAAGCGCGCGCAGGCGGAUCUGCCAGUCUGUCUUAAAAGUUCGGGGCUUAACCCCGGGAUGGGAUGGAAACUACAGAUCUAGAGUAUCGGAGAGGAAAGUGGAAUUCCUAGUGUAGCGGUGAAAUGCGUAGAUAUUAGGAAGAACACCAGUGGCGAAGGCGACUUUCUGGACGAAAACUGACGCUGAGGCGCGAAAGCCAGGGGAGCGAACGGGAUUAGAAACCCCAGUAGUCC
Molecule: ribosomal RNA, 450 nt
Filed under: uncultured bacterium
Lineage: Bacteria
Description: partial 16S ribosomal RNA
Rfam family: Bacterial small subunit ribosomal RNA
Source: RNAcentral